CGGUGACCGAUCGCGAACGAGCGUCACAUCGGGCACGAUCAAAUAAAUGCGUGAGUGGAGUGACAAUUAAAAGCGACACCGAUUGUGCUGUCCGUACGCGAUCGUAUCGGCGUCGGACUGCCAGGAAGGCUCGCGGACAGAUAACGGAAAGAAUAGAAUUAUACUACAUAGGAAAGGAACUUACGAAGAACAUGCUGCAGAAUAGGUCCGCGAUAUCAAAGUAGCAAAACAACAAACAUUUGCAUCUAACAGAAACAUUCAAGGUGGUCAAGUCUCACCCUGCAGAACAAUAGAGGCGGAAUUAAUUUUUGCUCCGGCAUGUAACGCUGUUCUUUAAUUGGUAAGGGAGAGUAUCAUCGCGAUGGAAUCAUCGCGGGAUUCAAAUCGUCUGGAAACCGACGAAGGAUAAAUCCCAUCUCCGCGCAACUUAAACGAACGCACGAAGUAUACAAUGUUACAUGUUGAGAGUUCUUUUUCGUUCUAAGCAUCUCGAGAACCUUAAAAAUUAGAAAAAAAAACAUAGAAAUAAAUGAAUGCGAACAAAUCGUUGGUCGAAGGCAAUGACGGAUUCGAAAUCGCGCAGGAUGCUGUCAUCGCUCGGCCGUAAAGCUUGGUUAAUCGGCCAAUUAACGCGCGCCGUCACCGGUGUCCCUUGACCUCCUGCGAUGUUGUUCUUCGCACUUUUAAUCGGCUCCUCAUGAUCUUAAUUGAGAUUACGUCUCCGAAUCUCUGUCAUCACGAGAAAAUACUGCAGAAAACAUUACGUUAUGAUUUUGCGAAAACGAGCCGGAAGUUAUCGGGCAUUACCGGUUGACCUUCGACGUGUAUAAUACUGCAUGAAAAUAAAAAAAAAGAACAAAGAGACAAAAGAUUAUGUGAGUUUCGAAUGAUCGGUAGCAACGAUGGCCAAUGAUUACGACCAUAAUUCGCAAAUAUUAAAUAAUACGAGGAUGUCGUAUUAUACAAAAUUAUAAAUUUUACAAGACGUCGUCGUGAAGGAAUGCAGAAACCGGCGAUGAGAACAAUGUUACGACUGAUUAAUGGCUGGCAGAGCUCGAUAGGAAAUCCCGCGAGAUGGGUACGUGUGAAUUGAUAAUUUAUUGGAAAGAGUCGAGAGUGUGUAUAUGUGAGCGUGCCACGCAGGGCAAAUAUGAAGUAAGAAUCCGCGCGUCCCGUGGCGAACGUAUUUAUUUUGUUCGCAAAAAUACAAUCGCUCGGCCUCCGAAGGCCGUGCCUAUCGUCAAAUAAAUCACAAAGCGCAUCGAGUUAUCAAUAUUAAAUGCUCUUCUACAAAACGGGGCUGAACGAUUUAUCGGCGAUUAACAAAAAGUCAAAUUCCUUGAUCCGGUAUCCUUUUUUUAUGGCGAUAAUGCGCGAUUUCGCUGUCGGAUUCAUUUUUUAAUCAUCGCAUUGUCGCCACGCGCGGUAGCUUGUGAAAAUUGCAGGAAUUCUAGAAAAAUAUCGUGUAAAAAAAGUGGUGGAACAAUGAGGCGAUUACAGGAUUUUCUUUGUUGAAAAUUCCGCGAAGGUGGAUGAGAGAAGACGAGGAAGCAUAUAGGGAAAUCGCACACUGAGAAAAUAAGUUGUUAAAAUAACUAAAUACAUUUUGUUGACAGUUUUUCUUUAGUUCAAUAAGUUCAAUUAUG
Molecule: long non-coding RNA, 1646 nt
Organism: Wasmannia auropunctata (little fire ant)
Lineage: Eukaryota; Metazoa; Arthropoda; Insecta; Hymenoptera; Formicidae
Exons: 6
Source: RefSeq, a predicted model, not a curated record